Molecule: ribosomal RNA, 469 nt
Filed under: uncultured bacterium
Lineage: Bacteria
Description: partial 16S ribosomal RNA
Rfam family: Bacterial small subunit ribosomal RNA
Source: RNAcentral
GACGAACGCUGGCGGCGUGCUUAACACAUGCAAGUCGAACGGAAAGGCCCUGCUUUUGUGGGGUGCUCGAGUGGCGAACGGGUGAGUAACACGUGAGUAACCUGCCCUUGACUUUGGGAUAACUUCAGGAAACUGGGGCUAAUACCGGAUAGGAGCUCCUGCUGCAUGGUGGGGGUUGGAAAGUUUCGGCGGUUGGGGAUGGACUCGCGGCUUAUCAGCCUGUUGGUGGGGUAGUGGCUUACCAAGGCUUUGACGGGUAGCCGGCCUGAGAGGGUGACCGGCCACAUUGGGACUGAGAUACGGCCCAGACUCCUACGGGAGGCAGCAGUGGGGAAUAUUGCACAAUGGGCGGAAGCCUGAUGCAGCAACGCCGCGUGCGGGAUGACGGCCUUCGGGUUGUAAACCGCUUUCGCCUGUGACGAAGCGUGAGUGACGGUAAUGGGUAAAGAAGCACCGGCUAACUACGUGC